GAUGAAGAACGCAGCGAAAUGCGAUAAGUAAUGUGAAUUGCAGAAUUCAGUGAAUCAUCGAAUCUUUGAACGCACAUUGCGCCCGCCAGCAUUCUGGCGGGCAUGCCUGUUCGAGCGUCAUUUCAACCCUCGACUUCCCUUUGGGGAAGUCGGCGUUGGGGACCGGCCGUAUACCGCCGGCCCCGAAAUGAAGUGGCGGCCCGUCCGCGGCGACCUCUGCGUAGUAAUCCAACUCGCACCGGAACCCCGACGUGGCCAUGCCGUAAAACCCCCGACUUCUGAACGUUGACCUCGGAUCAGGUAGGAAUACCCGCUGAACUUAAGCAUAUCAAUAAGCGGAGGA
Molecule: unclassified non-coding RNA, 343 nt
Filed under: soil metagenome
Description: partial contains 5.8S ribosomal RNA, internal transcribed spacer 2, and large subunit ribosomal RNA
Rfam family: 5.8S ribosomal RNA (bases 1-120)
Source: RNAcentral